Molecule: long non-coding RNA, 725 nt
Filed under: Scleropages formosus (Asian bonytongue)
Lineage: Eukaryota; Metazoa; Chordata; Actinopteri; Osteoglossiformes; Osteoglossidae
Description: lncRNA (ENSSFOG00015031124.1)
Source: RNAcentral
CAACAGUAGUUAAAUUUUUGUAAUAGUUUCACUUUGCGUAAGUACCUACAAUUUCUUUUUUUUCUGGCAGAUCCAGACACUGGGGGUGGGGCAGGAUGUGAAACUUUGGGUGUGCUUCAACUCAUUGCACUGGCAGGACCACGUUACCCACGUGGUUGAAGAGAAGCUCGAGGUCCACUACCAAGACCACCCACAGCGGGACAGCAUCAUUCUGCGGGGAGAGGUGCGCUUCCCCAACCUGCGAUUCUCCAGCAGCAGCCUAGACUUUGGCUGCAUUUUCAACCACACCGAGAGCCAGAAGCAGCUAACCAUGACCAACUGCAGCCGGCUGGCUGUAACGUACCACUGGGCCUUCCUAGUGGAGCAGGUCUGGUACCACAUCAGGGAGAACGCAUCUCAGAGGAGCCGUGUCGGGGAGCUAGUGCCUCCCUUUGGUUGCUGGUACCCGAGCAGUUUCCCUCAGGAGGCAGAUACCUCAGUGAAACAGACACCGGCAGACUCCAAGGUGGACAGGCCUGAGAUGAGAAAUGCAGACGGCAAGAAGGAGCCUCACAGGUCUGUACCCAUCAUGUGGAUGCACACCUGCCUGAAGAACUGAACCUGAGGAUAUGUUCUGCUGAUGUAAUGCACUCUUUGUGUUCUUCUCUGACAUGUACAUCACUAUGGAGGAGAAAAGUGUCUGCUAAAUGAAUAAAUGUAACAUAAAUGUUUUCCUGCUACUUUAC